ACGGGAGGCAGCAGUGGGGAAUAUUGGACAAUGGGCGGAAGCCUGAUCCAGCAACGCCGCGUGAGGGAUGACGGCCUUCGGGUUGUAAACCUCUUUCACCAUUGACGAAGCUGCAUCUUUUUGGGUGUGGUGACGGUAGGUGGGGAAGAAGCACCGGCCAACUACGUGCCAGCAGCCGCGGUAAUACGUAGGGUGCGAGCGUUGUCCGGAAUUAUUGGGCGUAAAGGGCUCGUAGGCGGUUUGUCGCGUCGGGAGUGAAAUCAUCUGGCUUAACUGGGUGCUUGCUUUCGAUACGGGCAGACUAGAGGUAUGCAGGGGAGAACGGAAUUCCUGGUGUAGCGGUGAAAUGCGCAGAUAUCAGGAGGAACACCGGUGGCGAAGGCGGUUCUCUGGGCAUGAUCUGACGCUGAGGAGCGAAAGUGUGGGGAGCGAACAGGAUUAGAUACCCUGGUA
This 453-nucleotide ribosomal RNA is filed under the name uncultured Nocardioides sp. RNAcentral's name for it is "bacterial SSU rRNA". It matches the Rfam family "Bacterial small subunit ribosomal RNA", at positions 341 to 792 of the family's 1533-position model. The record is from RNAcentral. Lineage: Bacteria; Bacillati; Actinomycetota; Actinomycetes; Propionibacteriales; Nocardioidaceae.